This 543-nucleotide long non-coding RNA is filed under the name Elaeis guineensis (African oil palm). RNAcentral's name for it is "long non-coding RNA (EGUI_LNC029579)". The record is from RNAcentral. Lineage: Eukaryota; Viridiplantae; Streptophyta; Magnoliopsida; Arecales; Arecaceae.
CUUCUUUCUUUGUAGUACUUUUAUGACCAUCGAUCACUAAUCUUUCACUCGAAUCUUUCAACUGAAUUGUUGCUACAAAGAUUGGUAAAUGAUCUGGUCCAAAUUUUUUACAUGUAUACCUUACUGAUGACAAAUUCAUUUUUUCAAGUACCUCCUUACAUCAGUUUGAGUGAUGCAACCAUAGAUAUAGACAUUUGACCCUCCAUUGCACACACUUAUUGUUAUUGAUAAAGAGGUCUCUUUGCUUAAACCUCUCAAUUUUAUUGAAAAACUACACUUUUUUUUUUUACUUUCUCAGAAAACUCUUAAGCUCUCUGGCUCUGAAGCUCUGAGGAUAUCUGGCUCUAUGGCUCUCGGGCUCUGUGAGUUAUUGUAGAACAACCCUAUGCUUUGAUAGUUGCUUUAAGAUCGAUCUUGCUCUGCUUGCUCUGUGAGUUAUUGUAGAAUCAACCCUAUGCUUUGAUAGUUACUUUAGGAUCGAUCUUACUCUAAGGCACUCUGUUGGAAAGGUGAUGGCACAAUCACAAACUCAAAUACUACUGC